Molecule: ribosomal RNA, 404 nt
Filed under: Brevundimonas variabilis
Lineage: Bacteria; Pseudomonadati; Pseudomonadota; Alphaproteobacteria; Caulobacterales; Caulobacteraceae
Description: bacterial SSU rRNA
Rfam family: Bacterial small subunit ribosomal RNA
Source: RNAcentral
GCUCAGAGCGAACGCUGGCGGCAGGCCUAACACAUGCAAGUCGAACGGACCUUUCGGGGUUAGUGGCGGACGGGUGAGUAACACGUGGGAACGUGCCUUUAGGUUCGGAAUAAGCUCGGGAAACUGGGUCUAAUACCGAAUGUGCCCUUCGGGGGAAAGAUUUAUCGCCUUUAGAGCGGCCCGCGUCUGAUUAGCUAGUUGGUGGUGUAAUGGACCACCAAGGCGACGAUCAGUAGCUGGUCUGAGAGGAUGACCAGCCACAUUGGGACUGAGACACGGCCCAAACUCCUACGGGAGGCAGCAGUGGGGAAUCUUGCGCAAUGGGCGAAAGCCUGACGCAGCCAUGCCGCGUGUAUGAUGAAGGUCUUAGGAUUGUAAAAUACUUUCACCGGUGAAGAUAAUGA